This 406-nucleotide ribosomal RNA is filed under the name uncultured bacterium. RNAcentral's name for it is "partial 16S ribosomal RNA". It matches the Rfam family "Bacterial small subunit ribosomal RNA", at positions 30 to 526 of the family's 1533-position model. The record is from RNAcentral.
AUUGAACGCUGGCGGCAGGCCUAACACAUGCAAGUCGAACGAGCGGCGGACGGGUGAGUAAUGUCUGGGAAACUGCCUGAUGGAGGGGUCUCACUACUGGACACGGUAGCUACUACCGCAUUCCAUCAGCUUUGCCCAGAUGGGCUUAGCUAGUAGGUGGGGUAAGGGCUCACCUAGGCGACGAUCCCUAGCUGGUCUGAGAGGAUGACCAGCCACACGUGAACUGAGACACGGUCAAGACUCCUACGGGAGGCAGCAGUGGGGAAUAUUGCACAAUGGGCGCAAGCCUGAUGCAGCCAUGCCGCGUGUGUGAAGAAGGCCUUCGGGUUGUAAAGCACUUUCAGCGAGGAGGCGUUACUCGCAGAAGAAGCACCGGCGAACUCCGUGCCAGCAGCCGCGGUAAUAC